UACGUAGGGGGCAAGCGUUGUCCGGAUUCAUUGGGCGUAAAGAGCGUGUAGGCGGCCAGGUAGGUCGGUUGUGAAAACUGGAGGCUCAACCUUCAGACGUCGACCGAAACCAUCUGGCUAGAGUCCGGGAGAGGAGAGUGGAAUUCCUGGUGUAGCGGUGAAAUGCGCAGAUAUCAGGAGGAACACCGGUGGCGAAGGCGGAUCUCUGGGCCGUAACUGACGCUGAGGAGCGAAAGCAUGGGGAGCGAACAGG
This 253-nucleotide ribosomal RNA is filed under the name uncultured bacterium. RNAcentral describes it as "partial 16S ribosomal RNA". It matches the Rfam family "Bacterial small subunit ribosomal RNA", at positions 524 to 776 of the family's 1533-position model. The record is from RNAcentral.